This 229-nucleotide ribosomal RNA is filed under the name uncultured bacterium. Its description in RNAcentral is "partial 16S ribosomal RNA". It matches the Rfam family "Bacterial small subunit ribosomal RNA", at positions 568 to 796 of the family's 1533-position model. The record is from RNAcentral.
CAUGUAGGUGGUUAUGUAAGUCGAGCGUGAAAUCCUUUGGCUCAACCAAAGAACUGCACUCGAAACUGCAUAACUUGAGUUCAGGAGAGGAAAGCGGAAUUCCCGGUGUAAGAGUGAAAUCUGUAGAGAUCGGGAGGAACACCAGUGGCGAAGGCGGCUUUCUGGACUGAUACUGACACUGAAAUGCGAAAGCUAGGGGAGCAAACAGGAUUAGAUACCCUGGUAGUCC